Ostrea edulis (European flat oyster) is the source of this 3016-nucleotide long non-coding RNA. RefSeq lists it as uncharacterized. The transcript has 4 exons. The record is from RefSeq and is a predicted model, not a curated record. NCBI's taxonomy places the organism in Eukaryota, Metazoa, Mollusca, Bivalvia, Ostreida, Ostreidae.
UCAAGACCACAUUCCCAACAAACUACCCUCUGAUGAUGAGUGUGAUGAACCGCCUCAUGAAUUAAUGAACUUGGAAAACAAAUUAACCAAUCCUACAUACCCGUCCCCACCACCAAUACCUACUAUUCUCUCAGAUCCACCAUUUCCACUUCAACCUUCACUGCUUGCUGAUAAACCAACAGAACCGCUAGUUUCUGAGAUAUCACAACCUGACAGUGACUCUGAUUUACCACCCACCCACAAUGAUGCGGUAUUUCAUCCGGCUAGACCUACCCGUGUUCGCCAUCCACCGAAGUGGUUAUCCGACUAUGUAUGUGAUUGAACCGUGUGAUUUGUGUUAGGGGCAUAAUAAUCCCCUCUUGUGUUAAUUCUUUCCAUAUUAAUUUGUCAUUGUGUGAUCUAUAUCGUGUGCUUGAUGGAACUCCUUUUUGCAUUUUGUUUAUGUAUUCUCUCUAGAUAUUGCAUUUUUCUAGAUUUUGCAUGUGUAUUCAAUAGUAAUUUUUUAAGAGAAAAAGGAAAAAAUGGUGACACCAGUAUGUUAAUUACUUGCAUUCCGGGUUAGCAUUAUGUAACCGGUAUGGUUCUAUGUUUUGUCUCUUUUCUAUUUCAUCUUACGUUUCCGGUUAAAUAAAUGUGCUGCGUUUACAACUGAGUGUUUGUUGCUGUGUUGGAUAUACACUAACUGGCGCAAAGUGUUUGAGGAAUCGCUCAUAUCAAUCACUAGAUCUAUAUCGCAUUACUUUGAUUAUAGGUAAUUCAGAUUUAAUCUGUUGAUCUAUGCAAACAAACUUUUAUGGGAAAUGCCUUCUCUCCCACCCCUCCCCCAAAUUAACAUUGUGGAGGUGCACUUUCAAAAAUUAUUUUUCAAAUAAUUAUUAAUUGUGUCAUGCUUGUUCCCAGUGUAAUGCUGUUGAACAUGGUGAACAUUAUACAUUUAUUGCAUGAUAGUGAGGGAGAUAUGAAGAUUUAUUCACCCAAGAAAAAUCAUAUUCCCCGAGGGCAACGCCCUAACAUGUAUGUAGCUGAGAUUGCCCUAACGGCAACACCGCGCCUCAACGAAUUAGAAGGUACAAACAGCGAAAUACAGUGAUAUGAUAACCAUUUUUUAUUUUACCAUUCUCCUUGAAUGCUGAUUUACUUGUUUGUUUUUGUAUCAACCAAAAUCAGGGGAUUUAACUGUGUAUCAGAGACCCGCAUGUUUUGUGCCUUACGAAUUAUGGAAGUAGAAUGACUCGGACUUAUUGUGACGUCAUUGACGUUAAAUUUAUGGAAAAUGCACGAGGCUGCCCAAGCGGUAAAUAUGAUAGGGAGAUAUGAUGUUUGAGGGGGAGAUAUGAAGUUUUGUUAUCCCUGGCAUGUGACCGUCUAGACCAAUCAGAUUACGCGUUGCAUAGAAUUUUCAUACUGAGGUAUAAUAAAUGAAUGUGCUACACGGGCAGAUGAAAACAACCCAUGGUCUCGCGCGGAAAUGAGCGAAAUGAAAGAGACGUAUCCGGUAGUUAGUAUUUAUCCGGAAUGCUAGUGCGCAAUGGCGGCAAUAAACAAACGAAGCGGAUACGUUCACGGGCACUGGAAGUUAAUGUAAAUAUAUAGUAUGUGCAUGUAUAAAAAAGUUGAUGUCCUUUUUAUACAUGCACAUACUAUAUAUUUACAUUAACUUCCAGUGCCCGUGGAUACGUUGAAGGAAAAACUUCUUUAUUUAUUUCUUACCGUUAUGUAGACCAGUGAAAAUAAUGAACAACGAUUAAUCGCAUAAAUCCCAUGAAGAAUAGAAAACUGAAAGUAGGGCAAACAUAGAUCCCUGGACAUAUCAGAGGUGAGAUCAGACAGAUCAUGAGAUGGAAACCAAUGUAAUUGAGAAGAAAAGGGAGUACAACUCGAAAUAUCAAGGAAAAACAAGAAAGGCCUUUGUGAUCAGCAGAUGAUGUCCUAUACAACCAUCCUUCCAUGACACAUGCAAUGGGAAGUUUAUUUCAGGAAACAAAGCCUGUCUGAAACUCCAAAAUGACAUUUCCAGAAAGUUGAAGAAUGGAUAAAAAUGUAGCUACCAUCUUACAACCCAGAUUUCAUUCCACUGAAAAGAAAAGGGACAGGAAAUUUUGCAUGUCCAUGUCUUGGAAGGUGAAUUCUAAGGUGGAAAGUCAAUAGAUGCUUACCAUAUCAGAUGCUUGCAGAGGAUACUGGGGAUAAAGUAGCAGAAAAUUAUGGAAAACAGGGAAGUGGCAGCCAGGACUAUGGAGGAGAGAUGACAAUGACAGUGAGAUGGCGUUAGGUUGGACACCAGAAGGGAAGAGGGCAUUUAAGAGACCGACAACAACCUGGAGAGGAACAGUAGAAGCAGAAAGAAAGAUUGCAGAAUGGAGAAACUUGAAUGAGAUCAAGAUGGUAGCAAUAGAACAGAGUGGAUUGGAGAGAGUCUCGGUCCUAUGUGUUUUGGCAUGGAGAGAACUAAGUAAUGUCUAGAUUGUUGGAGAUAGGAUGACCAGGAAUAUGAAUGGAUGUGAUGGAAACUGUACUAAGACCCUUAUGUAUUUGGAUAGAUUUACAUACCAUCAUGAUUUUGCUAUGAAAAACUUGAAAAAAAUUCUCAAUUCAUAUUGUAGCUGACAUUGUACAUUUGUACUUAUUAAUAUUUCAAAUGAACAUGUUUUUAGACAUACAAUAUCUAAACUUUGGAGUCCAUGUACAUCUCCACAUUGGAUAAUAGGUAAUGAUAUAUGCGUGUGAAAUCUUUUCCUAUGGUAUGCACAUGUUAACACAUUAGUUUAAAUGAUGAUGUAUAUCUUAUGACUAUGGAAGAGAAUGUGUUCAGAACAGAAUAUGUGUGUAGAAGAGUUAUUGCCCUUGAAUGUGAUUUAUUAUUUACAUGGGGUUGAAAAAUAAUCCAGCACACAGUAGUACUAAAUGCAUUAUGUUAAAAUACAUUUAUGAAUGGUAUAAGUGAUACUGUCAAUUACUGAUUAAUACACUUUGUGAAAUCAUAUUAUUGUUAUGUUUAAUAAAUUUCAAGGCUGCA